Long non-coding RNA from Cephus cinctus (wheat stem sawfly), 561 nucleotides. RefSeq lists it as uncharacterized. NCBI's taxonomy places the organism in Eukaryota, Metazoa, Arthropoda, Insecta, Hymenoptera, Cephidae. The transcript has 3 exons. The record is from RefSeq and is a predicted model, not a curated record.
UGUGGGAUUUGUGAAAAUCGCGGACGUCGAAACAAAAGACAUUCCAAUAAUCCUACUUCCGACAUAAAGGUACAGCGAGCCAAUCGCCUAAGUGAUUGAAUUCGGCCAUCUUUGGUCGCCUUGUGUAGCGUCUACUGGAAGUUGGGAAUAUUGGGAUUUUCUUUGUGGGCAUCGCAUCGCCGUGCAAUUUGUCCGGAGACUUUGCAAAAUGGGGCGUCGGGACGUAACAUCUGCAAUCCCGACGACUCGUUCGCGCACAAAGUUUUCCCCCAUGACGUAGCAGUGCGUUUCAUUUGGAACGUAAGGAGGAUAAUUUGAAAACCACCCUUGAUACGAGCCUAAUUUCAAAAGCAGACCCCAAGGAGUGCAAGAUAAACAGCUAGGUACAAUAAAGCAAGAAGAAUUCUCUCCACCAAGAAGACCGACGUUUCAGCAGUCAUUGUAAUCUUGGCAGAAAAGGACUGUACCAUCAUACUCUGCUGGGAUCAUCACGGACUGAGAUCACGCGACGAGAUAGAUCAUCAUUUUAUUAAACGGGAUGUACAGACUUUACUUCGUCAU